CAGGUAGGUGGUCUUGUUUGUCUAAGGUGAAGCCCAGGGCUUAACCCUGGAAGUGCCUUAGAAACGGCAGGACUAGAGUCUCGGAGAGGGUCGCGGAAUUCCCGGUGUAGUGGUGAAAUGCGUAGAGAUCGGGAGGAACAUCAGAGGCGAAGGCGGCGGCCUGGGAAGAGCACUGACACUCAACUGCGAAAGCGUGGGGAUCAAACA
Molecule: ribosomal RNA, 207 nt
Filed under: uncultured bacterium
Lineage: Bacteria
Description: partial 16S ribosomal RNA
Rfam family: Bacterial small subunit ribosomal RNA
Source: RNAcentral